Nannospalax galili (Upper Galilee mountains blind mole rat) is the source of this 661-nucleotide long non-coding RNA. RefSeq lists it as uncharacterized. The transcript has 3 exons. NCBI's taxonomy places the organism in Eukaryota, Metazoa, Chordata, Mammalia, Rodentia, Spalacidae. The record is from RefSeq and is a predicted model, not a curated record.
CAGCAGAGACUCUCCUAGGCUGUGUCUUUUGCUCCAAAUCACACUGAGAAGCAGUGACCGACCUGACUUGGAGAAGCUGCUACAUGUUCCAUGAAGCUGCAUCAUCAUCCUCAUAGCAAGGAAAAGGAGCAAGGAGAGUAAACUUUGCAACUGGCGGUCCAAACAGGAGCUCCUAAGGUUCAAAACUCUGAAAAAUGCUCAGUGUGGAGAUUUGAAGCUGUAACAUUUACAUUGGCAAUAUUGAACCCCAUUUUCAAGUUAAUCAUAGUGUGCUAUGGACAGACCUGAAACUAAUUUAAUAAUCCAGCAAGAGUUAAUAAUGAGGAGCUAAGGAGAGGAAGAAGGAAGGAAACAAAAAGAAAAGUCCCCUGAAUUCUGUGAUUUGUAAGUGCAAGGAGCUUAAAAUAGAGUUGUGGCUCUGGGAGAUGAAUGGAUGGUGGUAUGAACUGGAAAAUACGGGCCUUGGAGGAGAAAUGGAGGUAGUACAACUGUUUAAGAUUCAAGUAGAUAGAUGUCUCUUAUUUGGGAAGAAGUCUGAAAUUAGAGGGAAAAAUGAUACUAGAAAUAUGUAUUUUGGAACUAUCAGGACGUUGACAGUAACCAGAUCCAUGGAGAAAAUAAUAAUACACAAAGAAAACUUGCCAGAUGUAGCGAGAAGAAG